GCAAGAUCAAUGAGGGGGAAGAGUAUAUAUAGGUAAUUUUAAAGAGAGUUAGUGUCAGGUGGAAGACUAACAAAGGACUAUAUAGAAAGCAGCCCUGGAGAUUCACUUUGAGAAAUCCGAUACUAUUUAAAUAUAAAUUGUAUUGGACAUUAGAAGAUGACGAGACCUCGCGUUAUAGAGGAACGGUAUAUUUUGUAUCGGUUGAGACAGCAUUUUUGUGUGCUAAUUAGGGUGGUACCGCGGAAUACUCCUUCGCCCCUUUC
This 263-nucleotide non-coding RNA is filed under the name Pseudobacteroides cellulosolvens. Its description in RNAcentral is "T-box sequence". It matches the Rfam family "T-box leader". From Rfam's summary of the family: Uncharged tRNA acts as the effector for transcription antitermination of genes in the T-box leader family. T-boxes are found upstream of many aminoacyl-tRNA synthetase genes and some amino acid biosynthetic genes usually in Gram-positive bacteria. Lineage: Bacteria; Bacillati; Bacillota; Clostridia; Eubacteriales; Oscillospiraceae. The record is from RNAcentral.